Molecule: ribosomal RNA, 192 nt
Filed under: uncultured bacterium
Lineage: Bacteria
Description: partial 16S ribosomal RNA
Rfam family: Bacterial small subunit ribosomal RNA
Source: RNAcentral
UCCUACGGGAGGCAGCAGUGAGGAAUAUUGGUCAAUGGGCGCAAGCCUGAACCAGCCAUCCCGCGUGCAGGAAGACGGCCCUAUGGGUUGUAAACUGCUUUUCCAGGGAGAGAAACUUGCGCACGUGUUGCGCAAUUGACGGUACCCUGGGAAUAAGCAUCGGCUAACUCCGUGCCAGCAGCCGCGGUAAUA